UUUGUCUUACAGGUGAAAGACUUCUGGCCCCGAUAUUGGGGUGGUGUUGUACUCUAUGAUCGGGAAAGGCAAUUCUUCAAAGCUCUUGGAGGCGGAGAACUGCUAAAGGACAAGUUCAUAUCAGGAUUUAUUUUGAACCCACGAGCUAUUGCAAAUUACAAGCGUGCAAAAGCUAUGGGAAUAAAGCAAAACUUCAAAGGGGAAGGAGAGAUUAAAGGUGGCCUCUUCAUAAUUGGCAGAGGAAAAAGUGGCAUUGCUUACCAGUUUAUUGAAAGGAAUUUUGGUGAUUGGGCUCCUGUAGCUGAAGUAAUUGACAUUUGCAGCAAGUUGCAGGUAAUACUUGUCAGCUUCCCCUAACCCGUUGAUGAGUUGCCAUCCAAUAUGCAUUUACUUUAAACAACUUUUCUACUUCUGAUGCAGAACCAGCAGCAAAGUCAAGAGAAAUCCAUCAAAAUAUAACAGGAAUAAAAGAAGUUUGUCAUAAUUAUCCAUAAUUUCUUCUGAUUCACCUUCUAUUAUAUUUCUGUUCCUUGUAAUUCAGGAUAGAAGAAAUGAUCAUGUUCUUUUCUGAUCUUAUCCACAUUAG
Molecule: long non-coding RNA, 586 nt
Filed under: Manihot esculenta (cassava)
Lineage: Eukaryota; Viridiplantae; Streptophyta; Magnoliopsida; Malpighiales; Euphorbiaceae
Description: long non-coding RNA (MESC_LNC008389)
Source: RNAcentral